RNAcentral lists this ribosomal RNA (1465 nucleotides) under Bacteroidales bacterium. Its description in RNAcentral is "partial 23S ribosomal RNA". It matches the Rfam family "Bacterial large subunit ribosomal RNA", at positions 1 to 1466 of the family's 2925-position model. Lineage: Bacteria; Pseudomonadati; Bacteroidota; Bacteroidia; Bacteroidales. The record is from RNAcentral.
GGUCAAGCGAAUAUAGGUUUAUGGUGGAUGCCUAGGAGCUAUAAGGCGAAGAAGGACGUGAUAAGCUGCGAUAAGCCAGGGUAAGGAGCACAUAUCCGCUAACCCCUGGAUUUCCGAAUGGAGUAAUCCAAUAGUAGUGAUACUAUUAUCUGAAUACCUGAAUAUAUAGGGUACAGAAGUCAUACUGAGUGAAGUGAACCAUCUAAGUAACUCGGGAACAGAAAUCAAACGAGAUUCCCCCAGUAGCGGCGAGCGAAGCGGGAAGAGCCCAAACCACGCAAGUGGGGUUGUAGGACUGCGAUAUUGAGUUAGGCAACAAAUCAAUUUGUAGGAGAAUCACUUGGGAAGGUGAGCCAGAGUGUGUGAAAGCCACGUAUCCGAAACGAAUUGGUCUCAUAGCAGAAUCCUGAGUAAGGCGGGGCACGUGAAACCCUGUCUGAAUCCGGGUCGACCACGAUCCAAGGCUAAAUACUAGAUAGCUACCGAUAGUGAACAAGUACCGUGAGGGAAAGGCGAAAAGAACCCUGGUAAAGGGAGUGAAAUAGAACCUGAAACCAUAAACUAACAAGAUGUCACAGCCCGCAAGGGUAGUGGCGUGUCUUUUGUAGAAUAAACCUGCGAGUUACGGUAUGCAGCAAGGUUAAGGAAUCGAAGUUCCGAAGCCGAAGGGAAACCGAGUCUGAAUAGGGCGAGUAAGUUGCAUGUCGUAGACCCGAAGCCAAGGUGAUCUAGUCAUGGGCAGGUUGAAGCCUGGGUAAAACCAGGUGGAGGACCGAACAGUAAUCUGUUAAAAAAGGUAGUGAUGACCUGUGACUCGGAGUGAAAGGCUAAACAAACCUGGAAAUAGCUGGCUCUCCCCGAAAUGCCUUUAGGGACAGCCUCAUAUAAAACUAUCGGAGGUAAAGCACUGGAUGAGAAAGGGGGAGUCAAAUCCUACCAAUUUCAAUCAAACUCUGAAUGCCGAUAGUCAGCGUAUGGGAGUGAGACUGCGUGCGCCAAGGUUCGUAGUCGAAAGGGAAACAGCCCAAACCGGCAAUUAAGGUCCCAAAAUUAUGCUAAGUGUGAAAUGAAGUGCGGAUGCAUAGACAGCCAGGAGGUUGGCUUAGAAGCAGCCAUUCCUUCAAAUAGUGCGUAACAGCUCACUGGUCGAGCAUCUGUGCGCAGACAAUGUAACGGGGCUAAGCAUAAUACCGAAAUUCCGGACUCAUAUCAAAGGAUAUGAUUGGUAGGGGAGCAUUGAAAUAACUGAAGAAGGCGUAUCUGUGAGGAGCGCUGGAGGACUUUCAAGAGAGAAUGCAGGCAUAAGUAACGAAAAAGCGGGUGCGAUCCCCGCUCGCCGAAAACCUAAGGUUUCCAGGGUAAAGGCAAUCUGCCCUGGGUAAGUCGGCCCCUAAGGCGAGGACGAAAGUCGUAGUCGAUGGGAAAUUGGUUUAUAAUCCAAUACUUAUUAAGUUUUUAUGGAAUG